UACGGGGGGGGCAAGCGUUGUUCGGAAUCAUUGGGCGUAAAGCGCGUGUAGGCGGUCCGGUAAGUCCGCUGUGAAAGUCGGGGGCUCAACCCUCGGAUGCCGGUGGAUACUGUCGGGCUUGAGUACGGAAGAGGCGAGUGGAAUUCCUGGUGUAGCGGUGAAAUGCGCAGAUAUCAGGAGGAACACCAAUUGCGAAGGCAGCUCGCUGGGACGUUACUGACGCUGAGACGCGAAAGCGUGGGGAGCAAACAGG
RNAcentral lists this ribosomal RNA (253 nucleotides) under uncultured bacterium. RNAcentral describes it as "partial 16S ribosomal RNA". It matches the Rfam family "Bacterial small subunit ribosomal RNA", at positions 524 to 776 of the family's 1533-position model. The record is from RNAcentral.